CCUACGGGUGGCAGCAGUGGGGAAUAUUGCACAAUGGGGGGAACCCUGAUGCAGCAAUGCCGCGUGGGUGAAGAAGCACUUCGGUGCGUAAAGCCCUGUCAGCAGGGAAGAAAAUGACAGUACCUGGACAAGAAGCCCCGGCUAACUACGUGCCAGCAGCCGCGGUAAUACGUAGGGGGCAAGCGUUAUCCGGAUUUACUGGGUGUAAAGGGAGCGCAGGCGGCGUGGCAAGUCAGAUGUGAAAGCCCGGGGCCCAACCCCGGGAGUGCAUUUGAAACUGCAAUGCUGGAGUUCCGGAGAGGUAAGCGGAAUUCCUUGGGUAGCGGUGAAAUGCGUAGAUAUAAGGAAGAACACCAGUGGCGAAGGCGGAUUACUGGACGAUAACUGACGGUGAGGCGCGAAAGCGUGGGGAGCAAACAGGAUUAGAUACCCCAGUAGUC
RNAcentral lists this ribosomal RNA (440 nucleotides) under uncultured bacterium. RNAcentral describes it as "partial 16S ribosomal RNA". It matches the Rfam family "Bacterial small subunit ribosomal RNA", at positions 338 to 795 of the family's 1533-position model. The record is from RNAcentral.